Molecule: long non-coding RNA, 559 nt
Organism: Notolabrus celidotus (New Zealand spotty)
Lineage: Eukaryota; Metazoa; Chordata; Actinopteri; Labriformes; Labridae
Exons: 3
Source: RefSeq, a predicted model, not a curated record
GCUUUGUGUUGUAGAGUUGCUCAGAAGAGGAAUGCAGGUUAUCCUGGCUCAAGUAUGAUCUGUCUAUCCAAGAUGGCUGCUGCUCACGGCACAGGGUUUCCUCCGCUGUGUACAAUGGGCUUCUGGGACAAAGAGCAUCAUAUGCGGCGAUUGCGAUGUCCUAUGAUACCAUUUAUACUCCAUAUGCCGUGUCAUCUUGCCUUCUUAUCACAACCACAUCCUCAGCACCAGCAGGCUGAACAGUGCACAUAUGUAGUGCAGUGUGCGCGGAUGCCAGGAGGGGGCGCUGUUACAUAGGUCUGAGUCACAGCAGUGGAUACGCACCCCUGGCAGUUCCUGUUGCUGGCAGUGUCUGGAUGUGGCACAACCGCUGGUCAGGACGAUACCCAGGGCCGCUGGAUGGACAGAAGAGGAGACAAUCAGUCAGAGGGAGAGUGACAAGUUGGUGUUUGGCUCAGCAAGAAAAAAAAAGCACAUGUAAGCAGCAGAUAGUGCAAGUGUGUAAUGAGGAAGACAUUUAGAGAUCUUAAAGGCACACACCACAGGGUAUGAACCAGGC